UAGGGAAUCUUCCGCAAUGGGCGAAAGCCUGACGGAGCAACGCCGCGUGAGUGAUGAAGGUCUUCGGAUCGUAAAACUCUGUUAUUAGGGAAGAACAAAUGUGUAAGUAACUAUGCACGUCUUGACGGUACCUAAUCAGAAAGCCACGGCUAACUACGUGCCAGCAGCCGCGGUAAUACGUAGGUGGCAAGCGUUAUCCGGAAUUAUUGGGCGUAAAGCGCGCGUAGGCGGUUUUUUAAGUCUGAUGUGAAAGCCCACGGCUCAACCGUGGAGGGUCAUUGGAAACUGGAAAACUUGAGUGCAGAAGAGGAAAGUGGAAUUCCAUGUGUAGCGGUGAAAUGCGCAGAGAUAUGGAGGAACACCAGUGGCGAAGGCGACUUUCUGGUCUGUAGCUGACGCUGAUGUGCGAAAGCGUGGGGAUCAAACAGGAUUAGAUACCCUGGUAGUCCACGCCGUAAACGAUGAGUGCUAAGUGUUAGGGGGUUUCCGCCCCUUAGUGCUGCAGCUAACGCAUUAAGCACUCCGCCUGGGGAGUACGACCGCAAGGUUGAAACUCAAAGGAAUUGACGGGGGCCCGCACAAGCGGUGGAGCAUGUGGUUUAAUUCGAUGC
Molecule: ribosomal RNA, 611 nt
Filed under: uncultured Staphylococcus sp.
Lineage: Bacteria; Bacillati; Bacillota; Bacilli; Caryophanales; Staphylococcaceae
Description: bacterial SSU rRNA
Rfam family: Bacterial small subunit ribosomal RNA
Source: RNAcentral